AAGUCGUAACAAGGUCUCCGUUGGUGAACCAGCGGAGGGAUCAUUACCGAGUUUACAACUCCCAAACCCAUGUGAACAUACCUAUCGUUGCUUCGGCGGAUCGCCCCGGGCGCCUUGCGUGCCCCGGAUCCAGGCGGCCGCCGGGGGACCUUAACUCUUGUUUUUACUGAGAAUCUUCUGAGUCGUUUUUACAAAUAAAUAAAAACUUUCAACAACGGAUCUCUUGGUUCUG
This 232-nucleotide unclassified non-coding RNA is filed under the name Clonostachys miodochialis. Its description in RNAcentral is "partial internal transcribed spacer region". The stretch from base 1 to 46 matches the Rfam family "Eukaryotic small subunit ribosomal RNA", at positions 1786 to 1831 of the family's 1831-position model. Lineage: Eukaryota; Fungi; Ascomycota; Sordariomycetes; Hypocreales; Bionectriaceae. The record is from RNAcentral. RNAcentral also lists the same sequence under 3 other names.